Molecule: long non-coding RNA, 304 nt
Organism: Syngnathus acus (greater pipefish)
Lineage: Eukaryota; Metazoa; Chordata; Actinopteri; Syngnathiformes; Syngnathidae
Exons: 4
Source: RefSeq, a predicted model, not a curated record
CCAACACUAUGUACGCGAUCAAACACAAGAUGGCGGAAUCACCAGGCUCUCUGAUGAGGAACUCGGCGGGGCGGUCAAGCCGGCGCCCAAACGCCGUCGCAUCUUAGACUCUGCGGCCAUUGUCCCGUGCCAUCUACUCUAACAAGGUGAACAGCAGCCUGCUACUGAAGGCGAAGAUUCCAGUCCUUGACGGAGUAUGAAAGACCAGACAACAGCGAUGUGGACAAACUGUGGUCGCCGACGGCGGGUCAGAAAGAGCUCAGUAUCACCAUCAGCGACUCUGAUGGCGAACAGGAAGUGUAGG